Molecule: ribosomal RNA, 528 nt
Filed under: Kluyveromyces marxianus
Lineage: Eukaryota; Fungi; Ascomycota; Saccharomycetes; Saccharomycetales; Saccharomycetaceae
Description: eukaryotic LSU rRNA
Rfam family: Eukaryotic large subunit ribosomal RNA
Source: RNAcentral
ACGGCGAGUGAAGCGGCAAAAGCUCAAAUUUGAAAUCUGGCGUCUUCGACGUCCGAGUUGUAAUUUGAAGAAGGCAACUUUGUAGCUGGUCCUUGUCUAUGUUCCUUGGAACAGGACGUCAUAGAGGGUGAGAAUCCCGUGUGGCGAGGAUCCCAGUUAUUUGUAAAGUGCUUUCGACGAGUCGAGUUGUUUGGGAAUGCAGCUCUAAGUGGGUGGUAAAUUCCAUCUAAAGCUAAAUAUUGGCGAGAGACCGAUAGCGAACAAGUACAGUGAUGGAAAGAUGAAAAGAACUUUGAAAAGAGAGUGAAAAAGUACGUGAAAUUGUUGAAAGGGAAGGGCAUUUGAUCAGACAUGGCGUUUGCUUCGGCUUUCGCUGGGCCAGCAUCAGUUUUAGCGGUUGGAUAAAUCCUCGGGAAUGUGGCUCUGCUUCGGUAGAGUGUUAUAGCCCGUGGGAAUACAGCCAGCUGGGACUGAGGAUUGCGACUUUUGUCAAGGAUGCUGGCGUAAUGGUUAAAUGCCGCCCGUCUU